RNAcentral lists this ribosomal RNA (593 nucleotides) under uncultured bacterium. Its description in RNAcentral is "bacterial SSU rRNA". It matches the Rfam family "Bacterial small subunit ribosomal RNA", at positions 8 to 612 of the family's 1533-position model. The record is from RNAcentral.
AGAGUUUGAUCCUGGCUCAGAAUGAACGUUGGCGGCGUGGAUUAGGCAUGCAAGUCGCGCGGAAAGGCCCCUUCGGGGGUACUCGAGCGGCGAAAGGGAGAGUAACGCGUGGAUACCUACCCCUGGAUCCGGAAUAGCUGCGGGAAACUGCAGGUAAUGCCGGAUAAUGUCCCCGGACCAAAGGUGUGAUUCCGUCCAGGGAGGGGUCCGCGUCCUAUUAGCUUGUUGGUGGGGUAACGGCCUACCAAGGCUUAGAUGGGUACCGGGUGUGAGAGCAUGGCCCGGCUCACUGGGACUGAGACACUGCCCAGACACCUACGGGUGGCUGCAGUCGAGAAUCUUCGGCAAUGGACGCAAGUCUGACCGAGCGACGCCGCGUGCGGGAUGAAGGCUUUCGGGUUGUAAACCGCUGUCAGAGGGGAGGAAAUCACUAGGGGCUAUCCCCUAGAGUUGACCUAUCCUCAGAGGAAGGACGGGCUAAGUUCGUGCCAGCAGCCGCGGUAAUACGAACCGUCCAAACGUUAUUCGGAAUCACUGGGCUUAAAGGGUGCGUAGGCGGUGCGGUAAGUUGGGUGUGAAAUCCCUCGGCUCAA